ACUAAAAUGGCAGAUAGAUGUGUAAGAUUUAAGCUCUUAUUAGGGGAAUUUUUUCCCUUUUAGUA
RNAcentral lists this transfer RNA (65 nucleotides) under Paraglypturus tonganus (nomen nudum). RNAcentral describes it as "tRNA-Leu". The record is from RNAcentral. Lineage: Eukaryota; Metazoa; Arthropoda; Malacostraca; Decapoda; Callianassidae.